UACGGGAGGUGCAAGCGUUAUCCGGAUUCACUGGGUUUAAAGGGUGCGUAGGCGGGCAGGUAAGUCCGUGGUGAAAUCUCUGAGCUUAACUCAGAAACUGCCAUGGAUACUAUUUGUCUUGAAUAUUGUGGAGGUGAGCGGAAUAUGUCAUGUAGCGGUGAAAUGCUUAGAUAUGACAUAGAACACCAAUUGCGAAGGCAGCUCACUACACAAUUAUUGACGCUGAGGCACGAAAGCGUGGGGAUCAAACAGGAUUAGAUACCCCGGUAGUC
Molecule: ribosomal RNA, 272 nt
Filed under: Citrobacter freundii
Lineage: Bacteria; Pseudomonadati; Pseudomonadota; Gammaproteobacteria; Enterobacterales; Enterobacteriaceae
Description: partial 16S ribosomal RNA
Rfam family: Bacterial small subunit ribosomal RNA
Source: RNAcentral